AAAUUGAAGAGUUUGAUCAUGGCUCAGAUUGAACGCUGGCGGCAGGCCUAACACAUGCAAGUCGAACGGUAACAGGAAGCAGCUUGCUGCUUUGCUGACGAGUGGCGGACGGGUGAGUAAUGUCUGGGAAACUGCCUGAUGGAGGGGGAUAACUACUGGAAACGGUGGCUAAUACCGCAUAACGUCGCAAGACCAAAGAGGGGGACCUUCGGGCCUCUUGCCAUCAGAUGUGCCCAGAUGGGAUUAGCUAGUUGGUGAGGUAACG
This 265-nucleotide ribosomal RNA is filed under the name Salmonella enterica. RNAcentral describes it as "partial 16S ribosomal RNA". It matches the Rfam family "Bacterial small subunit ribosomal RNA", at positions 1 to 262 of the family's 1533-position model. RNAcentral also lists the same sequence under 1 other name. Lineage: Bacteria; Pseudomonadati; Pseudomonadota; Gammaproteobacteria; Enterobacterales; Enterobacteriaceae. The record is from RNAcentral.